AUAAGGGGAAUGAAGUGCUCCCCGGGGAAGACUCCCCGAACCGCCUUUUCAGGCUGAUGACUUCUGCGAA
Molecule: non-coding RNA, 70 nt
Filed under: chicken gut metagenome
Description: Fluoride riboswitch
Rfam family: Fluoride riboswitch aptamer (crcB RNA motif)
Source: RNAcentral